This 492-nucleotide ribosomal RNA is filed under the name uncultured bacterium. Its description in RNAcentral is "partial 16S ribosomal RNA". It matches the Rfam family "Bacterial small subunit ribosomal RNA", at positions 29 to 507 of the family's 1533-position model. The record is from RNAcentral.
AGUGAACGCUGGCGGUAGGCCUAACACAUGCAAGUCGAACGGCAGCACAGUAAGAGCUUGCUCUUACGGGUGGCGAGUGGCGGACGGGUGAGGAAUACAUCGGAAUCUACUUUUUCGUGGGGGAUAACGUAGGGAAACUUACGCUAAUACCGCAUACGACCUACGGGUGAAAGCAGGGGAUCUUCGGACCUUGCGCGAUUGAAUGAGCCGAUGUCGGAUUAGCUAGUUGGCGGGGUAAAGGCCCACCAAGGCGACGAUCCGUAGCUGGUCUGAGAGGAUGAUCAGCCACACUGGAACUGAGACACGGUCCAGUCUCCUACGGGAGGCAGCAGUGGGGAAUAUUGGACAAUGGGCGCAAGCCUGAUCCAGCCAUACCGCGUGGGUGAAGAAGGCCUUCGGGUUGUAAAGCCCUUUUGUUGGGAAAGAAAAGCAGCAGGUUAAUACCCCGCUGUUCUGACGGUACCCAAAAAAUAAGCACCGGCUAACUUCGUG